GUCUCCGUGGUGUAGUCGGUUAUCACGUCGGUCUCAUAACAUUCGUUGUGACUAGCCUGCAAACAGGCUGGAGAGAUCCGAAGGCCGCGAGUUCGAUUCUCGCCGGGGACA
Lineolata rhizophorae is the source of this 111-nucleotide non-coding RNA. The record is from the annotation of a GenBank genome assembly. NCBI's taxonomy places the organism in Eukaryota, Fungi, Ascomycota, Dothideomycetes, Lineolatales, Lineolataceae.